Prolemur simus (greater bamboo lemur) is the source of this 102-nucleotide unclassified non-coding RNA. It matches the Rfam family "Y RNA". From Rfam's summary of the family: Y RNAs are components of the Ro ribonucleoprotein particle (Ro RNP), in association with Ro60 and La proteins. The Y RNAs and Ro60 and La proteins are well conserved, but the function of the Ro RNP is not known. NCBI's taxonomy places the organism in Eukaryota, Metazoa, Chordata, Mammalia, Primates, Lemuridae. The record is from Ensembl.
AGCUGGUCCGAGCGCGGUGGUGUUUAUAACUAAGUGAUCACAACCAGUUACAGAUUUCUUUGUUCCUUCUUCACUCCUACUGCUUUACUUGACUAGCCUAAA